AGCCCUUCGGGGUGGAUUAGUGGCGAACGGGUGAGUAACACGUGGGCAAUCUGCCCUUCACUCUGGGACAAGCCCUGGAAACGGGGUCUAAUACCGGAUACGACUGCGGGAGGCAUCUCCUGUGGUGGAAAGCUCCGGCGGUGAAGGAUGAGCCCGCGGCCUAUCAGCUUGUUGGUGAGGUAACGGCUCACCAAGGCGACGACGGGUAGCCGGCCUGAGAGGGCGACCGGCCACACUGGGACUGAGACACGGCCCAGACUCCUACGGGAGGCAGCAGUGGGGAAUAUUGCACAAUGGGCGAAAGCCUGAUGCAGCGACGCCGCGUGAGGGAUGACGGCCUUCGGGUUGUAAACCUCUUUCAGCAGGGAAGAAGCGAAAGUGACGGUACCUGCAGAAGAAGCGCCGGCUAACUACGUGCCAGCAGCCGCGGUAAUACGUAGGGCGCAAGCGUUGUCCGGAAUUAUUGGGCGUAAAGAGCUCGUAGGCGGCUUGUCACGUCGGGUGUGAAAGCCCGGGGCUUAACCCCGGGUCUGCAUCCGAUACGGGCAGGCUAGAGUGUGGUAGGGGAGAUCGGAAUUCCUGGUGUAGCGGUGAAAUGCGCAGAUAUCAGGAGGAACACCGGUGGCGAAGGCGGAUCUCUGGGCCAUUACUGACGCUGAGGAGCGAAAGCGUGGGGAGCGAACAGGAUUAGAUACCCUGGUAGUCCACGCCGUAAACGUUGGGAACUAGGUGUUGGCGACAUUCCACGUCGUCGGUGCCGCAGCUAACGCAUUAAGUUCCCCGCCUG
Molecule: ribosomal RNA, 787 nt
Filed under: Actinomycetes bacterium
Lineage: Bacteria; Bacillati; Actinomycetota; Actinomycetes
Description: bacterial SSU rRNA
Rfam family: Bacterial small subunit ribosomal RNA
Source: RNAcentral